GAUGAACGCUGGCGGCGUGCCUAAUACAUGCAAGUCGAGCGAACAGACGAGGAGCUUGCUCCUCUGACGUUAGCGGCGGACGGGUGAGUAACACGUGGAUAACCUACCUAUAAGACUGGGAUAACUUCGGGAAACCGGAGCUAAUACCGGAUAAUAUAUUGAACCGCAUGGUUCAAUAGUGAAAGACGGUUUUGCUGUCACUUAUAGAUGGAUCCGCGCCGCAUUAGCUAGUUGGUAAGGUAACGGCUUACCAAGGCAACGAUGCGUAGCCGACCUGAGAGGGUGAUCGGCCACACUGGAACUGAGACACGGUCCAGACCCCUACGGGGGGCAGCAGGAGGGAAUCUUCCGCAAUGGGCGAAAGCCUGACGGAGCAACGCCGCGUGAGUGAUGAAGGUCUUCGGAUCGUAAAACUCUGUUAUUAGGGAAGAACAAAUGUGUAAGUAACUAUGCACGUCUUGACGGUACCUAAUCAGAAAGCCACGGCUAACUACGUG
Molecule: ribosomal RNA, 497 nt
Filed under: uncultured bacterium
Lineage: Bacteria
Description: partial 16S ribosomal RNA
Rfam family: Bacterial small subunit ribosomal RNA
Source: RNAcentral